This 433-nucleotide ribosomal RNA is filed under the name uncultured bacterium. Its description in RNAcentral is "partial 16S ribosomal RNA". It matches the Rfam family "Bacterial small subunit ribosomal RNA", at positions 29 to 507 of the family's 1533-position model. The record is from RNAcentral.
AACGAACGCUGGCGGCAGGCCUAACACAUGCAAGUCGAGCGAGGACUUCGGUCCUAGCGGCGGACGGGUGAGUAACGCGUGGGAACGUGCCCUUUGCUUCGGAAUAGCCCUGGGAAACUGGGAGUAAUACCGGAUGAGCCCUUUGGGGGAAAGAUUUAUCGGCGAAGGAUCGGCCCGCGUUGGAUUAGGUAGUUGGUGGGGUAAUGGCCUACCAAGCCGACGAUCCAUAGCUGGUUUGAGAGGAUGAUCAGCCACACUGGGACUGAGACACGGCCCAGACUCCUACGGGAGGCAGCAGUGGGGAAUCUUAGACAAUGGGGGAAGCCCUGAUCUAGCCAUGCCGCGUGAGCGAUGAAGGCCUUAGGGUUGUAAAGCUCUUUCAGCUGGGAAGAUAAUGACGGUACCAGCAGAAGAAGCCCCGGCUAACUCCGUG